Physeter macrocephalus (sperm whale) is the source of this 1214-nucleotide long non-coding RNA. RefSeq lists it as uncharacterized. The transcript is spliced from 4 exons. NCBI's taxonomy places the organism in Eukaryota, Metazoa, Chordata, Mammalia, Artiodactyla, Physeteridae. The record is from RefSeq and is a predicted model, not a curated record.
GUGUCCCUGAGGGUUGAGCUGACCCGCCAGGGCAUGUCCCCGCAGCCUUCUCUCGGCCUCAGCUCUUCAGUCCUCGGGUGCGUCCCUCCUUACUAGUUAGAAGGCGCGGUCUUCGGACUUAAGACAAAUCUAACCCUAAAAUUUGCGCGGCCGUUAUUGUUUAAGCAAAAAUGCGAACUAUUUUUGCCAAACAUCGUAGCUGCUGAACUAGCGAAGACUGUAGCAGGAAACCGAAUAUCAAGAAUGAGCAGGAGUGUGACAGGUGAAAAAGUUUUUAGCUGGACACGUGCUUGGAACGGAAAAGGGAAAUAAUCCGGGUCGGCGGCUGGUCUCCAAAGUGCUUAAUCUCCUCCCCGGCUCUACGGGAAGUAGCUGCUGUGCGCGGUGAAGAAGCCCUGAUCUAGGAGAAGAAUGCAGGAAGACCGGAGCGGACUGGGAAUUUCGCCCAGAUAAAUGAGUAAGGUCGUCAACAGUAGAAGGUGACCUUCUUUCGCAGGAGAGACAGGAGGACGGGGCAACUGCACUGGAGGAGCUUCUGGCAGUUAAAACUAUUCUAGAGGUUUCAAGUCUAAUAACUACAAACUGCUCAGUUCCAGUAGCAUUAAAGUAGAUUAACUACAGUAAGGAUUAGAAACGGUAAAGGAUCCAAAUUUGCAAGAUCAGAACCACCAAAACAAGAGUGAGUUAUGGAUGCUCUUCAAAUGGCCCAGUGCGAUACACUUUCUCACCGUCAAUGCAGCAGUAGAGGAAAUACUGAUGGACGUCAGCCACCAAACUAGGAUGGAUACCGUGUAUGUCCAUAAAGACUUCUUCCAUAGCAGCAACAAGCCUAAGUCCAGAACCCUUCACAUCAACUUACCAAUAAGUUCAAUAUGUAAAACAGUUAAAUUUGGUUCAAAUGCAGAAGGAUGAGAGUUAUUGCAACCUGGCAACACUCCCUACCCCCAUUCUAACCCUCCCUACAGGGGAGGCUCCAGGGAGUACUUUGAAAACCAUUGGAAAAAUUCUCCUCAUAAAUGACUUGAAAUGCCAUGUCUGUAGUAUGCUAUGUUAAAUUUUUUUACCCAUUCCAAUUAUUUUUCUAUUUUCCUGCGAAUCUCAUACUUUAAAUUAAUUUAGAGGCUAAGAGCUUUGUAAUAUAACAAAGGAAGAAAUUGAAAUGUCUAAUAAAUAAGUAAAAUAACAACAUGUUAUUUUGGGGGGCCUGCAUAUUA